Molecule: ribosomal RNA, 843 nt
Filed under: Snodgrassella alvi
Lineage: Bacteria; Pseudomonadati; Pseudomonadota; Betaproteobacteria; Neisseriales; Neisseriaceae
Description: bacterial LSU rRNA
Rfam family: Bacterial large subunit ribosomal RNA
Source: RNAcentral
CCCGUGAACCUUUACUGUAGCUUUGCAUUGGACUUUGAAGUCACUUGUGUAGGAUAGGUGGGAGGCUAAGAAGCAGGAACGCUAGUUCUUGUGGAGCCGUCCUUGAAAUACCACCCUGGUGACUUUGAGGUUCUAACCCGGAUCCAUAAUCUGGAUCGGGGACCGUGCAUGGUAGGCAGUUUGACUGGGGCGGUCUCCUCCCAAAGAGUAACGGAGGAGUUCGAAGGUUACCUAGGUCCGGUCGGAAAUCGGACUGAUAGUACAAUGGCACAAGGUAGCUUAACUGCGAGACCGACAAGUCGAGCAGGUGCGAAAGCAGGACAUAGUGAUCCGGUGGUUCUGAAUGGAAGGGCCAUCGCUCAACGGAUAAAAGGUACUCCGGGGAUAACAGGCUGAUUCCGCCCAAGAGUUCAUAUCGACGGCGGAGUUUGGCACCUCGAUGUCGGCUCAUCACAUCCUGGGGCUGUAGUCGGUCCCAAGGGUAUGGCUGUUCGCCAUUUAAAGUGGUACGUGAGCUGGGUUUAAAACGUCGUGAGACAGUUUGGUCCCUAUCUGCAGUGGGCGUUGGAAGUUUGACGGGGGCUGCUCCUAGUACGAGAGGACCGGAGUGGACGAACCUCUGGUGUACCGGUUGUGACGCCAGUCGCAUCGCCGGGUAGCUAAGUUCGGAAGAGAUAAACGCUGAAAGCAUCUAAGCGUGAAACUCGCCUGAAGAUGAGACUUCCCUAGGGAUUUAAUCCCUCUGAAGAGACGUUCGAGACCAGGACGUUGAUAGGUCGGGUGUGGAAGAGUGGUAACACUUGGAGCUAACCGAUACUAAUUGCUCGUGAGGCUUGACUCUAU